GUAGGGAAUAUUGCACAAUGGAGGAAACUCUGAUGCAGCGACGCCGCGUGAGUGAUGAAGGCCUUCGGGUCGUAAAGCUCUGUCGCAGGGGAAUAACACAAUGAAGGUACCCUGUAAGAAAGGAUCGGCUAACUUCGUGCCAGCAGCCGCGGUAAGACGAGGGAUCCUAGCGUUGUUCGGAAUCAUUGGGCGUAAAGCGGAUGUAGGUGGCUAUGUAAGUCAGAUGUGAAAGCCUGGGGCUCAACCCCAGAAGUGAAUUUGAUACUGCGUAGCUUGAGUGUCGGAGAGGUUACUAGAAUUGUUGGUGUAGUGGUGAAAUACGUAGAUAUCAACAGGAAUACCGGAGGCGAAGGCGGGUAACUGGCCGAACACUGACACUGAGAUCCGAAAGCGUGGGGAUCAAACAGGAUUAGAUACCCCGGUAGUCC
Molecule: ribosomal RNA, 428 nt
Filed under: uncultured bacterium
Lineage: Bacteria
Description: bacterial SSU rRNA
Rfam family: Bacterial small subunit ribosomal RNA
Source: RNAcentral